This 384-nucleotide ribosomal RNA is filed under the name Fastosarion sarina. RNAcentral describes it as "partial 16S large subunit ribosomal RNA". The record is from RNAcentral. Lineage: Eukaryota; Metazoa; Mollusca; Gastropoda; Stylommatophora; Helicarionidae.
CCUGCCCACUGAUAAAAUUUAAAUGGCCGCAGUACCUUGACUGUGCUAAGGUAGCAUAAUAAAUUGACUCUUAAUUGGGGCCUUGAAUGAACGGAUAAAUGAAUAAUUUCUGUCUUAAAUAAACUUAAUAAAAAUUACUAAGAAGGUGAAAAUUCCUUUAAAUUUAUUUAAUAGACGAGAAGACCCUAGAAGUUUUAAAUUUUGUUGGGGCGACAGUAUAGCAUAAUUAAUAAACCUAUAUAAAUUAAUAUAUAUAAAACGAAUAAUUUUAAUAAUAAAUAAACUACCCUAGGGAUAACAGCAUAAUUUAUAUUUAAGUUUGUGACCUCGAUGUUGGACUAGGAACUUUUAAUAUUAAUAAUAUUAAUUGGUAGUUCUGUUCGA